RNAcentral lists this ribosomal RNA (652 nucleotides) under uncultured eukaryote. RNAcentral describes it as "bacterial SSU rRNA". It matches the Rfam family "Eukaryotic small subunit ribosomal RNA", at positions 737 to 1426 of the family's 1831-position model. The record is from RNAcentral.
GGUUUACCAGGGAAGUUGCUCUGUUUGCACAAGGUGCUCAAAGCGAAUCUUAUGGAUUAUGUAUGAUGUUCCAUGGUACUUACCUAAUGAUUCACGUCUUCGGACGUAUCAGAAUGUUAUGAAGGGCCCCUACGGGGAUUUAUGUAGUUUUAUACUAGGAGUGAAAUCCUCUGAUUAUUAACUGACGAACAAAGGGAAGGCGACUAUCCCAGAAUGUCUUUCCUAAGCAAGAACGAAGGUUGAAGGUUCGAAGGUGAUUAGAUACCGCCGUAGUUUCAACGUUAAACGAUGUUUCCCUAAUAGAUCGUUCCUCGUGAAUGUCUAACGAAAGAUGGUACAGGGAAACCACUUAAGUUGCCCUUUUCCUGGGGAAGUAUGGUUGCAAGACUGAAACUUAAAGGUAUUGACGGAAGAGCACCACCAGGAGUGGAGCCUGCGGCUUAAUUUGACUCAACACGGAGUAACUUACCCGGGCCAGAUAGUGCAAUGAUUGACUUGCUGAAUACCCUUCAAGAUUUGGUAAAUAGUGGUGCAUGGCCGUUUUUAGUUGGUGAAGUGAUUUGUCAGGUCUAUUCCGAGAACGAACGAGACUCUAUUCCAGUAAAGGCCUUAAUGAAUCAGUCUGAAUAGUGCUUCUUCGAGAGAUUGAUUG